UACAGAGGUCCCGAGCGUUGUUCGGAUUCAUUGGGCGUAAAGGGUGCGUAGGUGGCGCCGUAAGUGGGGUGUGAAAUCCCGGGGCUUAACCUCGGGACUGCAUUCCAUACUGCGGUGCUUGAGGACUGGAGAGGAGACUGGAAUUUACGGUGUAGCAGUGAAAUGCGUAGAGAUCGUAAGGAAGACCAGUGGCGAAGGCGGGUCUCUGGACAGUUCCUGACACUGAGGCACGAAGGCCAGGGGAGCAAACGGG
RNAcentral lists this ribosomal RNA (253 nucleotides) under uncultured bacterium. RNAcentral's name for it is "partial 16S ribosomal RNA". It matches the Rfam family "Bacterial small subunit ribosomal RNA", at positions 524 to 776 of the family's 1533-position model. The record is from RNAcentral.